RNAcentral lists this ribosomal RNA (497 nucleotides) under uncultured bacterium. Its description in RNAcentral is "partial 16S ribosomal RNA". It matches the Rfam family "Bacterial small subunit ribosomal RNA", at positions 28 to 507 of the family's 1533-position model. The record is from RNAcentral.
GAUGAACGCUGGCGGCGUGCCUAAUACAUGCAAGUCGAGCGAACGGACGAGAAGCUUGCUUCUCUGAUGUUAGCGGCGGACGGGUGAGUAACACGUGGAUAACCUACCUAUAAGACUGGGAUAACUUCGGGAAACCGGAGCUAAUACCGGAUAAUAUUUUGAACCGCAUGGUUCAAAAGUGAAAGACGGUCUUGCUGUCACUUAUAGAUGGAUCCGCGCUGCAUUAGCUAGUUGGUAAGGUAACGGCUUACCAAGGCAACGAUGCAUAGCCGACCUGAGAGCGUGAUCGGCCACACUGGAACUGAGACACGGUCCAGACUCCUGCGGGAGGCAGCAGUAGGGAAUCUUCCGCAAUGGGCGAAAGCCUGACGGAGCAACGCCGCGUGAGUGAUGAAGGUCUUCGGAUCGUAAAACUCUGUUAUUAGGGAAGAACAUAUGUGUAAGUAACUGUGCACAUCUUGACGGUACCUAAUCAGAAAGCCACGGCUAACUACGUG